UUGCCAGCCCGCUCAGAAACUUAAAGGAAGUUGACGGGGGCCCGCACAAGCGGUGGAGCAUGUGGUUUAAUUCGAUGAUACGCGAGGAACCUUACCUGGGCUCAAAUGUAUGUUGACGUAUUCUGAAAGGGAUACUUCUUCGGACAAUAUACAAGGUGCUGCAUGGUUGUCGUCAGCUCGUGCCGUGAGGUGUCGGGUUAAGUCCCAUAACGAGCGCAACCCCUAUCAUUAGUUGCCAUCAGGUCAAGCUGGGGACUCUAAUGAAACUGCCUACGCAAGUAGUGAGGAAGGUGGGGAUGACGUCAAAUCAGCACGGCCCUUACGUCCAGGGCUACACACGUGCUACAAUGGCCGGUACAAAGGGCAGCUACCUGGUGACAGGAUGCAAAUCUCCAAAGUCGGUCUCAGUUCGGAUCGGAGUCGGCAACCCGACUCCGUGAAGUUGGAUUCGCUAGUAAUCGCGCAUCAGCCAUGGCGCGGUGAAUACGUUCCCGGGCCUU
This 500-nucleotide ribosomal RNA is filed under the name uncultured Sphingobacteriales bacterium. RNAcentral describes it as "bacterial SSU rRNA". It matches the Rfam family "Bacterial small subunit ribosomal RNA", at positions 903 to 1382 of the family's 1533-position model. Lineage: Bacteria; Pseudomonadati; Bacteroidota; Sphingobacteriia; Sphingobacteriales. The record is from RNAcentral.